GAAGUCUUAUUACAAAACACUUUUGAAAGGCUGGCAAAUAUAUGAUAUUUGCAGUUCUUCCUUGGAAUGAAGGUAAAAGGCUUUGGGUUCUGAAUAGUCCUGAAAUGAAAAGAAAUAAUGUCAUUCUACCUUAACAAAAUACAUUAAAAAAACCUCAAGACACAUGAGUUUGAUACAUUAACCUGAUUCCGUUCAGUGGAAAAAAAAAAAAAGAGCAUGCCACAAAUUUCAUCUCUUUCCUAUGUUUCAUGAUCUUUUCUCAGGGUCUUUAUAUUUCUGUGUUUUGUCAAUUACUUAUCAAGCAUUUUUCACAGAUUAAAACCUAAAAUUUCAUACUACUUCUUUCAUGUGUUUGAAAUUCAAAUGUUUCUUAUCUCUUUCAGUGAAACCAAAUCAUAUUUCCUACACUCAACUUUCUCUGCACUUAAAUAUGGAACCAAAUUCUUUUAAUCAUUAAAAAAAUCACUGGGAUUUAUAGUUUCCCGUGAUUUUUGCAUUUACUUUUUUUUCAGUAGCCAACUUGUUAUGACGGGCUGAGAAUAUUUUGUUUCAUACAAA
Molecule: long non-coding RNA, 558 nt
Filed under: Bos taurus (domestic cattle)
Lineage: Eukaryota; Metazoa; Chordata; Mammalia; Artiodactyla; Bovidae
Description: long non-coding RNA NONBTAT011783
Source: RNAcentral